GACCUAAACUGCAAAGGAAUUUGUGGCAUGGUCAAAAACGCAGGACGAUAAAGAUCCCAUCAUCAGGAUCGCGUCCUGCGUCGUACGGGGAAACUCGUACGGACCCGCAAGGGUC
This 115-nucleotide small RNA is filed under the name unclassified sequences. RNAcentral describes it as "LOOT RNA". It matches the Rfam family "LOOT RNA". Rfam says of the family: Latescibacteria, OD1/Parcubacteria, OP11, TM7. Lineage (Microgenomates, aka OP11) The record is from Rfam by way of RNAcentral.